Molecule: ribosomal RNA, 467 nt
Filed under: uncultured bacterium
Lineage: Bacteria
Description: partial 16S ribosomal RNA
Rfam family: Bacterial small subunit ribosomal RNA
Source: RNAcentral
GACGAACGCUGGCGGCGUGCUUAACACAUGCCAGUCGAACGGAAAGGCUCCAGCUUGCUGGCGUACUCGAGUGGCGAACGGGUGAGUAACACGUGGGUAAUCUGCCCUGCACUCUGGGAUAAGCCUGGGAAACUGGGUCUAAUACUGGAUAUGACCUUUCUCCUUAUGGGGUUUGGUGGAAAGUUUUUCGGUGUAGGAUGAGCCCGCGGCCUAUCAGCUUGUUGGUGGGGUGAUGGCCUACCAAGGCGACGACGGGUAGCCGGCCUGAGAGGGUGAUCGGCCACAUUGGGACUGAGAUACGGCCCAGACUCCUACGGGAGGCAGCAGUGGGGAAUAUUGCACAAUGGGCGGAAGCCUGAUGCAGCGACGCCGCGUGAGGGAUGACGGCCUUCGGGUUGUAAACCUCUUUCAGCAGGGACGAAGCGUAAGUGACGGUACCUGCAGAAGAAGCACCGGCUAACUAGGUG